Molecule: transfer RNA, 73 nt
Filed under: Cordylochernes scorpioides
Lineage: Eukaryota; Metazoa; Arthropoda; Arachnida; Pseudoscorpiones; Chernetidae
Description: tRNA-Thr
Source: RNAcentral
GUCCAGGGAUGGGAAUCGAAACCGCAGUGUUCCGCUUACCGGGCAGAUGCCAUGUCCACUAGGCUACCCUGGA